This is a non-coding RNA of Oryza sativa Japonica Group (Japanese rice), 907 nucleotides long. NCBI's taxonomy places the organism in Eukaryota, Viridiplantae, Streptophyta, Magnoliopsida, Poales, Poaceae. The record is from RefSeq and is a predicted model, not a curated record.
GAAAACCGAGGGGGAGCAUCCUUGCUGCCCUUCUCCACUGUUUCUCCAUUGCCAGCCGUGAGACGAUGGCCUCCUCAUUCGUUGAUGAGCAGCAGUCGUUUCCUCCUAUUUUGAGUUCCUCAAUCUACUCUCGAUACCAUCUCUAUUUCAUCUAAUUUCGUCCCAUUCUAUAUAGCGGUUAAGCGGGAACGCCACCGUGCCCACGAACGCCCUGGAGCGCACACCGACGACCGCCAUGGGGUUCUCGUCGUCGUUCCGACUGAACCGAACCACCCCAAGCCGAACCCUUGCGCCACCAGGAUCGCCUCGACGUCCUCUUCAAGAUGCCUCAAGAACCACAAGAAUCGGUGAAUCGAGGAGGGAGAUCGGCGUCAUCUUCUCCAACUCCGGCUACCGGCGUCGGUCUUCGAUUCCUGCCGCUCCGGUGAGCCUCGCGUCGAUUCCUCACAUAUACACCAUUCUUGAGACCUCUCUAACCACCUGUACACCUUCUCUUAACUCCCCAAUCCCCAUCUACCGGACCAAGCUGUCACUGUGAAGCCGACAUCAUCCUCCGCCGCCGAGCCGUUCCGCGAGCCACCGCCGACGAUCAAGCUGCGCCGAUCCUUUCAGACUGCUUGGUUUUAGACUUAAUCUUUUGAGUGAUGCGGGUGAUAGUCUGCUUCUUCUAGGACUUUGAACUUAAUGAGGUAAACCUCUAGUCAGUGUGCUUGAGGAUUGGGUAGUCAAGCUUCCACUGUUCUAAUAUUUUUAUUCAGCCGGUCGGCCUAUGUAACUAUGAAGUAGUUGUAAUUUAGAUCCUUUUCAUCUUAAGUGUAUUUUGCUAUGUAUUUCCAUGUUUAAGAUGAAAGUGUGAAUCUAGUGCACAUCCUGGGAACUAGAUUCACAUGAGUAUGUGUUAAGAAUA